This 431-nucleotide ribosomal RNA is filed under the name uncultured bacterium. RNAcentral describes it as "partial 16S ribosomal RNA". It matches the Rfam family "Bacterial small subunit ribosomal RNA", at positions 29 to 507 of the family's 1533-position model. The record is from RNAcentral.
AACGAACGCUGGCGGCAGGCCUAACACAUGCAAGUCGAGCGCCCCGCAAGGGGAGCGGCAGACGGGUGAGUAACGCGUGGGAACGUACCUUUUGGUUCGGAACAACUCCGGGAAACUGGAGCUAAUACCGGAUAAGCCCUAACGGGGAAAGAUUUAUUGCCGAAAGAUCGGCCCGCGUCUGAUUAGCUAGUUGGUGAGGUAACGGCUCACCAAGGCGACGAUCAGUAGCUGGUCUGAGAGGAUGAUCAGCCACACUGGGACUGAGACACGGCCCAGACUCCUACGCGAAGCAGCAGUGGGGAAUAUUGGACAAUGGGCGCAAGCCUGAUCCAGCCAUGCCGCGUGAGUGAUGAAGGCCUUAGGGUUGUAAAGCUCUUUUGUCCGGGAAGAUAAUGACUGUACCGGAAGAAUAAGCCCCGGCUAACUUCGUG